Molecule: long non-coding RNA, 773 nt
Organism: Xenopus laevis (African clawed frog)
Lineage: Eukaryota; Metazoa; Chordata; Amphibia; Anura; Pipidae
Exons: 3
Source: RefSeq, a predicted model, not a curated record
AUGAGUGGAAAUCCUGGACAAUUACAUACCUGAACUGGAAAAGGCCAGUGUCUCCCGGGACAUGUAUGAAUGUGAAUGUUUAACUGCAAUGAAAAUGAAACUGUCAAAGCCAGGGAUCCCGUGUGGUGGCGACAUUGAUGGCAGACGCAGGUGGAUGAGUUGUUGAGAGGUGCAGCUUGCCAUAGAGGGUAUGAUGUCAAUUGGCCCAGGUUGUUGUAUUGUCCAGGCAGUAUUGAUGUUUUCCCAUAUUAGAACCAAUGCCUUACUCCUGCCAACUCCAGCUGGGAUCCACGUGGGAGAAAUCUGCCAAGUUGGUUUCCUCGUUCCGAAUUUGAGAGGAGAAUGACAGCGGGAUUUCAGUGAAGUCAUCUGCUGAUGGCUAUAUGAAAGGAAACAAGAUUUCCUUUGCGAAGAAUCAUUUGCAUUAAAGAUUUCCCGCUGGCAUACUCCAGGACGAAGAAGGAUUCCAGCUGUUAAAGAGAGAAUAGAAGAAGGUGAGACCUAGAACAUCCAGCCUCCCACCCAAAAACUUUAAAACUGUCUGAAUAGAAGUGGUAAUGUGAAUAAGUGGAAAGCAACAUCUUAGCGCUCCAUGGAGAUAUAGAAACAGCCAUGUAUGAGGAGCAAAUGAGACCCCACCGCAUAGUUUGUCUAACACUGGUCUAAUUAUGCUAAAAGAGAUAAGGACAUCAGAAAAUAACCUUUUUCAUUAUCUUUCAUAACAUUGUCUUUGAAUGUGAUUUAUAAUUUUGCCAUAAAAAUAUUUGCCGGAA